RNAcentral lists this unclassified non-coding RNA (207 nucleotides) under Hevea brasiliensis (rubber tree). Lineage: Eukaryota; Viridiplantae; Streptophyta; Magnoliopsida; Malpighiales; Euphorbiaceae. The record is from RNAcentral.
AUUUAUAUAUAAUGAUCUAACCGUCAGAUAAAUCCCAAAUUUUAACGAUAUAUUCAAGACAUCCCUAUACAGCAUCAUUAAAAAUUUAAGCCUAAAAUUGUGACUACAUCAUGAGAUAUCAAUAUAUUUAUCCAACCCUUUAAAUUCUGAAUUUUUCAUAAAUAAUUCUUAAUCAAAUAACUUAUACAAAAUAAUUUAUAUCUCAUA